CUGGAACUCUGGGGCGAAUCUCGAGUUCUUCAAGAUGGUUGCAGUGUGUCCGUCCACCUCCACCACCUCCCCUGCCUGAGGAACAGGAAGGGGAGGGAGCAAGGGACCACUCCUGGUAGUGUUUGGAGGACCACGCAGCACUUGGAUUUGAAUCCGGGGCUCCUGCAGGCAAAGCAUGUGUUCCAGCCCUUUGCGUCAUCUCCGAAAUCCUAAAGGUGGCACCCACCAUUUCUGCAAAGCCACCCCUUGCUACCUGGCCGCCACUCUCAGCUUUUUCCCAAAGGGGGAGGAGUGAGCAGAGGAUCUAAGAUCUCAAAACACUGGAGCAAGUGAAGAAAAAAGUCCUCAGGUAUUGUCCUUUCUACCCAGGUGAGCCCCAUGCCACAAAAGGCCAUGUGCAAGCUGAAGGCACAGGUGAGUGGCCAAGUUCCACUUCUGUAAGGCUGUCAUGGGGUGGUGGGUGGACAACAGGAGCAAAGGAAAGACAAAACGUGAAAAAAGGAUACAAAAAAUGUCAUGCCGGGGGGUGGGGGCCAGCCAACCCAGGUUUGAUGACCGGCACCCCACAUGGCUCCCUGAGCCUAGCAGGGGUGAUCACCUGGGGCAGAGCCAGGUGUGGCACCAAAACCAAAUAAAUAAAUUAAACAGCAGUAGGGAAUAGUUGUGUUUUGUUUUGUUUUUAAAUGUCGUGCUAGAGCCAGAGCAAUAGCAUAGCAAGCAGGGAACUUGCCUUGCAUGCAGUCAACCUGGGCUCGAUCCUGGUAUCCUAUACCAUCCCCAGAGUCAACGCAGAGCCAGGAGUUACUCCUGAGAUCACCGGGUGUGACCAACCCCCCAAAUAAAUGUCAUGCUAGGGGGCUGAUAGUAUAUCAGGUAAGGCCCUUGCCUCGCCCACAGCAGACAUGGGUUCAAUUUCCAGCACCCCAUCCCAUAUCCUGAACCCCGCCUGGAGUGAUCCUUGAGCAUGAGCCAGGAGGAAGCCCUAAGCACUACCAGAUGUGGCAAAAACAAAACAAAACAAAAACA
Long non-coding RNA from Sorex araneus (European shrew), 1026 nucleotides. RefSeq lists it as uncharacterized. The transcript has 3 exons. Lineage: Eukaryota; Metazoa; Chordata; Mammalia; Eulipotyphla; Soricidae. The record is from RefSeq and is a predicted model, not a curated record.